GAUGAACGCUGGCGGCGUGCCUAAUACAUGCAAGUCGAGCGAACGGACGAGAAGCUUGCUUCUCUGAUGUUAGCGGCGGACGGGUGAGUAACGCGUGGAUAACCUACCUAUAAGACUGGGAUAACUUCGGGAAACCGGAGCUAAUACCGGAUAAUAUUUUGAACCGCAUGGUUCAAAAGUGAAAGACGGUCUUGCUGUCACUUAUAGAUGGAUCCGCGCUGCAUUAGCUAGUUGGUAAGGUAACGGCUUACCAAGGCAACGAUGCAUAGCCGACCUGAGAGGGGGAUAGGCCACACUGGAACUGAGACACGGUCAAGACGCCUAAGGGAGGCAGCAGUAGGGAAUCUGCCGCAAUGGGCGAAAGCCUGACGGAGCAACGCCGCGUGAGUGAUGAAGGUCUUCGGAUCGUAAAACUCUGUUAUGAGGGAAGAACAGAUGUGUAAGUAACUGUGCACAGCUUGACGGUACCUAAUCAGAAAGCAACGGCUAACUACGUG
RNAcentral lists this ribosomal RNA (497 nucleotides) under uncultured bacterium. RNAcentral describes it as "partial 16S ribosomal RNA". It matches the Rfam family "Bacterial small subunit ribosomal RNA", at positions 28 to 507 of the family's 1533-position model. The record is from RNAcentral.